GACAUGCAGAGAACUUUCCAGAGAUGGAUUGGUGCCUUCGGGAACUCUGACACAGGUGCUGCAUGGCUGUCGUCAGCUCGUGUCGUGAGAUGUUGGGUUAAGUCCCGUAACGAGCGCAACCCUUGUCCUUAGUUACCAGCACGUUAUGGUGGCACUCUAAGGAGACUGCCGGUGACAAACCGGAGGAAGGUGGGGAUGACGUCAAGUCGUCAUGGCCCUUACGGCCUGGGCUACACACGUGCUACAAUGGUCGGUACAAAGGGUUGCCAAGCCGCGAGGUGGAGCUAAUCCCAUAAAACCGAUCGUAGUCCGGAUCGCAGUCUGCAACUCGACUGCGUGAAGUCGGAAUCGCUAGUAAUCGUGAAUCAGAAUGUCACGGUGAAUACGUUCCCGGGCCUU
Molecule: ribosomal RNA, 399 nt
Filed under: uncultured Pseudomonas sp.
Lineage: Bacteria; Pseudomonadati; Pseudomonadota; Gammaproteobacteria; Pseudomonadales; Pseudomonadaceae
Description: bacterial SSU rRNA
Rfam family: Bacterial small subunit ribosomal RNA
Source: RNAcentral